This 335-nucleotide long non-coding RNA is filed under the name Setaria viridis. Its description in RNAcentral is "long non-coding RNA (SVIR_LNC008531)". Lineage: Eukaryota; Viridiplantae; Streptophyta; Magnoliopsida; Poales; Poaceae. The record is from RNAcentral.
UUUUGAAGUAUUUUUUAUUUAUAAAGGUGGUGUGGAGUUGAACAAAUGGGAGGGUCACCAAAAUGAAGUGUUGUGCAAGCAAUUUCGUGCCUGGUAAAACAAUGAAAAGACAAUUCAGAAGUUAGCAAAUCAGUAUUGUGCAAGUUGCCACACUGUAACAUUUGUCAGAAAGCAAAAACAAUAUAUAGCGCUGGUUAGCUAACAACAUGCUUUUUCUGAGAUAAUUCUGGCUAUUAAUCAACUGAAUAACAAAAGUUUCUUUCUGUUUGUUAUGUGCCAUUUUCUGUUUUUCUUUCACUAGCUGAAAUUACUUCUUUUUAAUUCUCCACAAAAAC